GGAGGAGAAGAAACUAACAAGGAUUCCCCUAGUAACGGCGAGUGAAGAGGGAAGAGCCCAAGAUUGAAAGCUGGCGCCUUCGGCGUCCGCAUUGUAAUCUCAAGAAGUGUUUUCCGCUUCGGACCAUGCCUAAGUCCCUUGGAAAAGGGCAUCAUAGAGGGUGAUAAUCCCGUACAUGGCAUGGAGCGCCCGAAGCUUUGUGAUACGCUUUCUAAGAGUUGAGUUGUUUGGGAAUGCAGCUCAAAAUGGGUGGUAAAUGCCAUCUAAGGCUAAAUAUUGGGGAGAGACCGAUAGCGAACAAGUACAGUGAUGGAAAGAUGAAAAGAACUUUGAAAAGAGAGUUAAACAGUACGUGAAAUUGCCAAAAGGGAAGGGUAGGAGGUCAGAGAUGCGUCGCAGGAUUCAACCUUGCUUUUGCUUGGUGUUUUUCCUGCGUUGCAGGCCAACGUCGGUUUUGGGCACUGGAGAAGGGUGGGAGGAACGUGGCACCUCUCGGGGUGUGUUAUAGCCCCCUACUGGAUACAGCGACCGAGACCGAGGAACGCAGCGUACUCGUAAGAGCGGGCCUUUUGGCACCUUUACGCUUAGGGCGUUGGCAUAAUGGCCCUCUACCACCCGUCUUGAAACACGGACCAAGGAGUCUAACAUGUAUGCGAGUCUUUGGGUGGCAAACCCAUAGGCGCAAUGAAAGUGAAUUCAGGUGGGAUCCGCAAGGUGCACCAUCGACCGAUCCUCACGUCUUUUAAGUCGUGGAUUUGAGUAAGAGCAUACCUGUUGGGACCCGAAAGAUGGUGAACUAUGCCUGAAUAGGGUGAAGCCAGAGGAAACUCUGGUGGAGGCUCGUAGCGGUUCUGACGUGCAAAUCGAUCGUCAAAUUUGGGUAUAGGGGCGAAAGACUAAUCGAACCAUCUAGUAGCUGGUUCCUGCCGAAGUUUCCCUCAGGAUAGCAGAAACUCACAUCAGUUUUAUGAGGUAAAGCGAAUGAUUAGGGGCCUUGGGGAAGUAACUUCCUUAACCUAUUCUCAAACUUUAAAUGUGUAAGAAGCCCUUGUUACUUUAUUGAACGAGGGCAUGCGAAUGAGAGUUUCUAGUGGGCCAUUUUUGGUAAGCAGAACUGGCGAUGCGGGAUGAACCGAACGUUGGGUUAAGGUGCCUAAGUAUACGCUCAUCAGAUACCAGAAAAGGUGUUAUUUAGUCUAGACAGUGGGACGGUGGCCAUGGAAGUCGGAAACCGCUAAGGAGUGUGUAACAACUCAUCCUG
RNAcentral lists this ribosomal RNA (1261 nucleotides) under Oenothera odorata. Its description in RNAcentral is "eukaryotic LSU rRNA". It matches the Rfam family "Eukaryotic large subunit ribosomal RNA", at positions 52 to 1296 of the family's 3401-position model. Lineage: Eukaryota; Viridiplantae; Streptophyta; Magnoliopsida; Myrtales; Onagraceae. The record is from RNAcentral.